UGUGGGAGCUGGCUUGCCUGCGAUAGCGGUAUUGGAUUCGCCAUCGCCAUCGCAGGCAAGCCAGCUCCCACA
RNAcentral lists this unclassified non-coding RNA (72 nucleotides) under Pseudomonas gessardii. Lineage: Bacteria; Pseudomonadati; Pseudomonadota; Gammaproteobacteria; Pseudomonadales; Pseudomonadaceae. RNAcentral also lists the same sequence under 1 other name. The record is from RNAcentral.